RNAcentral lists this ribosomal RNA (440 nucleotides) under uncultured bacterium. Its description in RNAcentral is "partial 16S ribosomal RNA". It matches the Rfam family "Bacterial small subunit ribosomal RNA", at positions 338 to 795 of the family's 1533-position model. The record is from RNAcentral.
CCUACGGGGGGCAGCAGUAGGGAAUAUUGCUCAAUGGGGGAAACCCUGAAGCAGCAACGCCGCGUGGAGGAUGAAGGUUUUAGGAUUGGAAACUCCUUUUGUGAGAGACGAUUAUGACGGUAUCUAACGAAUAAGAACCGGCUAACUACGUGACAGCAGCCGCGGAAAUACGGAGGGUGCAGGCGUUAAUAGGAAUCACUGGGCGUAAAGAGUGCGGCGGCGGGGUAAUAAGUCAGAUGUGAAAUCCUGUAGCUUAACUACAGAAGUGCAUUUGAAACUGUUACUCUGGAGUGUGGGAGAGGUAGGUGGAAUUCUUGGUGUAGGGGUAAAAUCCGUAGAGAUCAAGAGGAAUACUCAUUGCGAAGGCGACCUGCUGGAACAUUACUGACGCUGAUGCACGAAAGCGUGGGGAGCAAACAGGAUUAGAUACCCGGGUAGUC